This 1593-nucleotide long non-coding RNA is filed under the name Polistes fuscatus (common paper wasp). RNAcentral's name for it is "uncharacterized LOC122516279". The record is from RNAcentral. Lineage: Eukaryota; Metazoa; Arthropoda; Insecta; Hymenoptera; Vespidae.
AGGAGGGAAGUAGCUUAUCGGCACCCUUUAUCUUGUCAGGCCAGAACGCGGCCUAUUAUGCCACUUACGGCGUAGCUUACACGCUUCGUGCCGAAGACACAAACCACCGACACGACUACUCAACUUUACGCCCGGAACAGCCUGCAGGAGAGAAAGACGUUGCUCGGCACCUGCGAUCAACUGCGAUAAAAUCCACCUCGUUUUCUUUUUCUUUUACUUCUUUUUUUCCAUCCAAAUUUACUCUCGCUUCCUGAAGUAAAAAGCAAAAAAGAAAAAAAAACAAGAAACCAAGGAGCAAGCACUUUUUUGAUAACGACUGACGUUUCCAAGAAAGAAAAAUGGAAGCAAAGGAUGAAGAGAAGAAGAAGAAGAGGGAGUCAAGUCAGUAACAGUAGUAGAAGCAGCAGUAGCAUUAUUUUGAAUUUCGCAAGACAGAAAAGUAGGGAGUAAAGAAAAAGAUGGUCGCUUUUCUACAUAAGCCAUAUGAGAGAGAGAGAGAGAGAGAGAGAGAGAGAGAAAGCCGAUAUAGAGCAGACAAUAUAGUCUAGCCUUGAUAUAUAAUGCCGAACGAAGGAGUUUCGUCAUCAACAUAGCCAACGUGUAGUCUCGCAGCGUCUUAAGGGGGCGGAACGAAGAGAAGAACCGCCACCGUUAUCAACUCAGCCGGCGAUUGGCCGUGCCACGAGAAGCUUUCCACGGAGGGCCAAUGGCGCACUGGUCUCCGCUUUUCAAGGAAUCUGCCCCCAAAAUCCUGGGUGUGAGCGAAAGAAUCUUUUCUCUCAAACGGCGAACGCUUCCUCGGAGUUUCUCUCUGUAUCUUACAGCUCCGAUCUUACGACUCCACCACGACACACCUCAAGAUAUUCCAUACGCGUAACCGAACUCGAAGACAAUCAUGAUUCGAUUUCCUUGCCGAUUUUAUAUCCAAGAAAAAGAAAAAACGAAUAAAUGAAACUUUGUAUUCGAUGACGAACACAAUGAUCUCUACCUUGAAAGUCUCUACCUCGGCCAGAGAAAACGUUUGUAAUGUUGAAAGAACAACGUUCACGUAGCUGGACUACGAUAACGACCACCGAAAUUUACAUGAAAUUGCUUAUUAAAUUACUAAGUUUUUCGUGAUGAUUUAACGGUAGGUAGGCCAUUUGUCUCUUUGCCUUUUAUUCCCUUCAACGCGUUAAUGAAAGUGCUUUACGGUUAGGCUUUACGUCCGCGUUGCUAGAACUUUUGGCAUAAUUCUUCUCUCCGAGAGAUACUUUCAGAGUUUACCGUUUCUGUUAUAUCGACGUUAAAUCCUUUCGUUCCCUGGCGAGUAAAGUUGUUGAUAUCCACAGAUAUUCAAUAAGAAAGAGAGCUUUCCAAGGAACACUCGCGUAAAUGAUACUCACUUAUGUUCCGAAUUAAAUUCUUUAACUAAUGGUCUUACAGCUGACAUAUAUAUAAAAGAGAGACGAAAUGAUACAAUCUCGGUUUUAAAUAAAAACAGACAGAUUUUUGAGAAAAAUGAACUAAAAAAAAUAAAAGAAAAAAGUUGAUAUUUAUGGGAUCUAUAUUUUGAGUAGAUGAUCAACAUUUACAAUAAAAUAUCAAUAUGUA